RNAcentral lists this unclassified non-coding RNA (147 nucleotides) under uncultured Leotiomycetes. RNAcentral describes it as "sequence contains ITS2". Lineage: Eukaryota; Fungi; Ascomycota; Leotiomycetes. The record is from RNAcentral.
ACAACCAUCAAGCACGGCUUGGUAUUGGGCGUCACCCGUGGGUGCGCCUUAAAACCAGCGGCGGCGUCGCCCGGCUCCAAGCGCAGUAAUGCUCUCGCUCAUGGGGUUGGGGUGCGCGUCUGCCACAAAACCCCUCUAUCACAAGGU